GAAGGGUUUCAUUAUGAAAAGUAAAGAGAACAAGGAGAGUGAUCUAGAACCACCUAGGCCCUUUGUACACUGUCCUACCCUGAGAUUUUCCAUGUCUGAAGGAACCAAGCUUAUAUUACCACAAGAAGACCCCAAAGUGACAAAAGGAUCUGCUUCCAUGGAAACGGCAGACUUUGUUUCCCAGUCAUCUUCCAGGCUCCUGCUGACUACAC
Long non-coding RNA from Pelobates fuscus (common spadefoot toad), 212 nucleotides. RefSeq lists it as uncharacterized. The record is from RefSeq and is a predicted model, not a curated record. NCBI's taxonomy places the organism in Eukaryota, Metazoa, Chordata, Amphibia, Anura, Pelobatidae. The transcript is spliced from 3 exons.